UCGAGUGUUAAACCUUUUAUAAAGGGUUACCUCCCGUCCUUUGUUGAGGGCUCCCUUACCUUUUAGGGGGGGAGCUUUUUUCAGAAAACCUUCUGCUUCGGCGUGGUUAUACCCGCCGGAACACCUUCAAAAUACUAGUUUUUUAAAACUGUUCAGUCCGAGAAAAUUUUUAAAAGCAAAUA
This 182-nucleotide unclassified non-coding RNA is filed under the name uncultured fungus. RNAcentral's name for it is "sequence contains ITS1". Lineage: Eukaryota; Fungi. The record is from RNAcentral.